AAAUGUCUUGAUAAACUUUGGAAUUCAUUUUUCCAUCGAUGACAGUAAUCCGUCCAGGGCCUGAGGCAGCAAAGCAGCCCCAAACCCCUCCACCAUAUUUCACAGUUGGGAUGAGGUUUUUGAUGUUGGUGUGCUGUGCCUUUUGUUCUCCACACAUAGCGUUGUGUGUUCUUUCCAAACAACUCAAUUUUGGUUUCAUCUGUCCACAGAAUGUUUUGCCAGUAGUGCUGUGGAACAUCCAGGUGCUCUUUUGCAAACUUCAAACCUGCUGCAAUGUUUUUUUGGACAGCAGUGGCUUCCUCCGUGGUGUUCAAGGUUUAUUAUUUAAAGUUUUAUUUCAGAAAUGCAGCCGUUAAAUUUCAAGGUAAGAAUGAAGCUACACUGAUUUCGUCUUAAGAUAAAUAACUGUUCAUUUUAUAAUGUUUUUUAACUGAAAGAGACGUAAUCCUGUCCAGGACAUGUCCUGGAAAAAUGACAAGUAUGGUCACCCUACUUUAAUAACAAUCAACAUAAACUUUGACAUGAGAUGAAACGCUUGCUUUACCUUCUUUAUGUUUGUUCUCUUGCUCUUCAGCCAACUGGAUCUGUAUCAUCUUUCUUGGGUUGUCCUGUGUAAUCUUAACAGCUUCUUCUGCUCCAUCAUGCGCCACCAUCUUAUCUACUGUAUCUAAGACAUUUGCAUUCUGCAGAUCUGAGGAUGAAACACCAUCAAGAUCCGUCAGGCUCCACUGAAACUCUUUGAGUUCAACUUGUUUCCGUUUUCUCAGUAUCUAUCGUAUUUAAGACAUCUCCAUAGUUUAGAAGCUGAAGUUUUCAUAUACAAAUGUUCUUACUGUAAAUUAACAGAGAUUUGCUCUAAUUCGUGACUUCCUCACAUUUGUCGGGCGCAUACUUCAACAAGGUUUAUUUUUUAAUGUUUUAUUUCAGAAAUGCAGCUGUUAAAUUUCAAGAGACGCAAUCCUGGCCAGGACAUGUCCUGGAAAAAUGACAAUUCUUCAGCCAGCUGGUUCUGGUUCAUCUUCCUCAGGAUGUCCAGUGUGAUCUUCACAGCUUCUUGUUUAUAACGCUCCACCAUCAUCUUCACA
Triplophysa dalaica is the source of this 1085-nucleotide long non-coding RNA. RefSeq lists it as uncharacterized. The transcript has 3 exons. The record is from RefSeq and is a predicted model, not a curated record. NCBI's taxonomy places the organism in Eukaryota, Metazoa, Chordata, Actinopteri, Cypriniformes, Nemacheilidae.